CCACGUCCCGACGCACCACCCCCCCGGCGCCGGGACCUUCCCAGAGUCGGGCUCCGGCGCCAUCCCCCCGAGCGCCGGGGCCCGGCUCCUUU
This 92-nucleotide non-coding RNA is filed under the name Streptomyces sp. HGB0020. RNAcentral describes it as "Streptomyces RNA 3202". It matches the Rfam family "Streptomyces RNA 3202". Rfam says of the family: Identified by deep sequencing of transcriptome at the end of exponential growth phase. Appears smaller on northern blot than sequencing transcript. Lineage: Bacteria; Bacillati; Actinomycetota; Actinomycetes; Kitasatosporales; Streptomycetaceae. The record is from Rfam by way of RNAcentral.